This 246-nucleotide ribosomal RNA is filed under the name uncultured bacterium. RNAcentral describes it as "partial 16S ribosomal RNA". It matches the Rfam family "Bacterial small subunit ribosomal RNA", at positions 524 to 770 of the family's 1533-position model. The record is from RNAcentral.
UACGUAGGGUGCGAGCGUUGUCCGGAAUUAUUGGGCGUAAAGAGCUUGUAGGCGGUUUGUCGCGUCUGCCGUGAAAGCCCAGGGCUUAACCCUGGGUCUGCGGUGGGUACGGGCAGACUAGAGUGUGGUAGGGGAGACUGGAAUUCCUGGUGUAGCGGUGAAAUGCGCAGAUAUCAGGAGGAACACCGAUGGCGAAGGCAGGUCUCUGGGCACUACUGACGCUGAGAAGCGAAAGCAUGGGGAGCA